CUUUACCUCUGCUAUGUCAUAAUGUUUUAUAAAUUGGAUAUAAGUGACUAUUUAAUCUUUGCAUUUUAAGGAGGAACUUCUCUGUUAUUUAUUUUAGAAUUGUUUUUCUCCAGCUCAAAUAACCCUUGACAAAUGUGACAUUGAAUUCCUCACUUGUAUUAGAUCUAAUGAACUGGAUGGAGAUGGUUAAGCAGGACAAUCGACGCCAAUUAUGAACUUGUCAUAAUGUUCUACUUUUACUAUUUUUAACCCAUUUCAUCUUUCUACUACCUUGUUUCUGCUUUACAAAACACGAAGUCUUUUCCUACUAUUUCCAUGAUAUGAUUGUUGAAAUGAUAAAGUGGGGUUUUCAAGAAGGGAAAACACUUUUUGGUUUCGGUUAUGAUUUUCGCCAAAGUAACGGGUAUAAUCAUAUUAUUGAUCUUUUUUAAUUAUUUUCCUUCUAAUUAAGGGUGGUGGCCUGUCAUUCCUUGCAAUUUAUAGAUUUUUUUCUAAUGGUUGAUUCUAGCUUUCUUUUAGGUUGCAAGACAAAUUGGAUCGCCUGGCAGCAAAACUAGAGUCAGUGAAUAAAGCAUCAGGGGGGAAAAAGAUAAAUAUCAUAAGUCAUUCUAUGGGGGGUCUUCUGGUAAAAUGUUUCAUGGGCCUUCACAGUGAUGUUUUUGAGAAAUAUGUGAAGAACUAGAUUGCGAUUGCUGCACCUUCUGGGUGCACCUGGAUAUAUUGCUUCUACCUUCCUAAAUGGAGUGUCACUUGUUGAAGGGUGGGAACAGAACUUUUUCAUUUCAAAGUGGAGCAUGCAUCAAUUAGCUUGUUGAUAAGAUUAAUAUAUCCGUGGGGCAAGAUCCAAAUCCCAUGUGCAAAUUGGAGUUUUGGACGUCUAUGGAUUUGAAUGCUUUAAGCAUAAUAGGAUUGACACUCAAGGAGCAAGAAACAUCUCAAGAACUCAUUGGGAUCGGCGGUCAAAAUUCAAAAUCAAGUGACACAAAGAGCUAGAUUUGGAGCUUAA
Gossypium raimondii (Peruvian cotton) is the source of this 1006-nucleotide long non-coding RNA. RefSeq lists it as uncharacterized. NCBI's taxonomy places the organism in Eukaryota, Viridiplantae, Streptophyta, Magnoliopsida, Malvales, Malvaceae. The record is from RefSeq and is a predicted model, not a curated record. The transcript has 5 exons.